AACGACACUCAGACACACUGUUCCGACUCACAAUUUCCUCCAGCAAUUAGAAUCGUUUUCUUGCUCAAUCGAAUUAUUGAUUUAUUUGUUUAGUUUUGCUUGUAUAUCUGGUGCCAGCAGCCGCGGUAACUCCAAGUCCAAAAUAGUAUAUUAAAGUUACUGUAGUUAAAAUGCUCGUAGUUGGAUGUGGGUCAUGCGGUCGCAUGCCAUAUCUUGUCCACUGUUUUAGGUACGAUCAGGACCAGUGUUUUGCUCGGUGUAGUGACUUGUCGGUAUGCUUCCGGAUGCUUUUAAACGGAUGUCGAGAGCGGACGGCAUGUCUACUUUGAGUGCUCAAAGCAGGCCUAUGCGCCUGAAAAUCCUUGCAUGGAAUAAUGACAUAGGACUUCGUUUCUGUUUGAAUGAAGCAUACACCCAGCUUCGUUCUAGACUGAAUGUACUCUGACUUAGUGCUAUUUACUUUAGGCUUCAGCAGUUAUUGAUUUGAA
RNAcentral lists this non-coding RNA (488 nucleotides) under Schistosoma margrebowiei. Its description in RNAcentral is "Eukaryotic small subunit ribosomal RNA". It matches the Rfam family "Eukaryotic small subunit ribosomal RNA", at positions 477 to 874 of the family's 1831-position model. The record is from Rfam by way of RNAcentral. Lineage: Eukaryota; Metazoa; Platyhelminthes; Trematoda; Strigeidida; Schistosomatidae.